AGUGAACGCUGGCGGUAGGCCUAACACAUGCAAGUCGAACGGCAGCACAGUAAGAGCUUGCUCUUACGGGUGGCGAGUGGCGGACGGGUGAGGAAUACAUCGGAAUCUACUUUUUCGUGGGGGAUAACGUAGGGAAACUUACGCUAAUACCGCAUACGACCUACGGGUGAAAGCAGGGGAUCUUCGCACCUUGCGCGAUUGAAUGAGCCGAUGUCGGAUUAGCUAGUUGGCGGGGUAAAGGCCCGCCAAGGCGACGAUCCGUAGCGGGUCUGAGAGGAUGAUCAGCCACACUGGAACUGAGACACGGUCCAGACUCCUACGGGAGGCAGCAGUGGGGAAUAUUGGACAAUGGGCGCAAGCCUGAUCCAGCCAUACCGCGUGGGUGAAGAAGGCCUUCGGGUUGUAAAGCCCUUUUGUUGGGAAAGAAAAGCAGCAUGUUAAUACCCCGCUGUUCUGACGGUACCCAAAGAAUAAGCACCGGCUAACUUCGUG
Molecule: ribosomal RNA, 492 nt
Filed under: uncultured bacterium
Lineage: Bacteria
Description: partial 16S ribosomal RNA
Rfam family: Bacterial small subunit ribosomal RNA
Source: RNAcentral